AUGAACGCGUGGAGGCCCCAAAAUGGGGGAAAUGACAGCCAUUCAAAAAAUAGAUCCCCAAAAUGGAAGAAUGCUCCUGAUCGUCACUUUUUCUUUCUUCAGUUCUUUUCUCUUUCCAACAAUCCUUCCCUUUUAUUUUCAACACGUUUUCCUUUAAUUCCUUGCCAAGAAAGUGGAAUCGCUCUAAGGCUCCAGCCAUUUCCUGCUAUCAGUGUUUCCAGAAACUACGCUUCCUGUAACUACAAAGAAAACACCUUCUGUGCCCAGUGGAUGCGCCGGGCAGCCUUCCCCUCGUGUCCCUCUGCCCGCGACCGCCUCCUGCCCCCAAUCAUCUCCUGCCUCCCAAUGCCCUCGUGGGGCUGCCCUGCCUCCCUCCCGGGAAAGACGGUCCCUCGGGGCUCCUCAGGGGCCAGGGAUUCGUGGACACAACGUGCUCUGGCACUUCCUCUGUUCAAGACAUCGUUGCCAACACUGGACACACAUCAUUUCAUUUCACCCUCGCUCCAAUGUGGGCUUGUCUAG
This 522-nucleotide long non-coding RNA is filed under the name Capra hircus (goat). RNAcentral's name for it is "lncRNA (ENSCHIG00010016419.1)". Lineage: Eukaryota; Metazoa; Chordata; Mammalia; Artiodactyla; Bovidae. The record is from RNAcentral.